This 1465-nucleotide ribosomal RNA is filed under the name uncultured Bordetella sp. RNAcentral describes it as "partial 16S-23S ribosomal RNA intergenic spacer". It matches the Rfam family "Bacterial small subunit ribosomal RNA". Lineage: Bacteria; Pseudomonadati; Pseudomonadota; Betaproteobacteria; Burkholderiales; Alcaligenaceae. The record is from RNAcentral.
AUUGAACGCUGGCGGGAUGCUUUACAUGCAAGUCGAACGGCAGCACGGACUUCGGUCUGGUGGCGAGUGACGAACGGGUGAGUAAUGUAUCGGAACGUGCCUAGUAGCGGGGGAUAACUACGCGAAAGCGUAGCUAAUACCGCAUACGCCCUUCGGGGGAAAGCGAGACCUUCGGGCCUCGCACUAUUAGAGCGGCCGAUAUCGGAUUAGCUAGUUGGUGGGGUAACGGCCACCCAAGGCGACGAUCCCGUAGCUGGUUUGAGAGGACGACCAGCCACACUGGGACUGAGACACGGCCCAGACUCCUACGGGAGAACGCGGUGGGGAAUUUUGGACAAUGGGGGAAACCCUGAUCCAGCCAUCCCGCGUGUGCGAUGAAGGCCUUCGGGUUGUAAAGCACUUUUGGCAGAAGAAACGGCACGGGAUAAUACCCCGUGCAACUGACGGUACCUGCAGAAUAAGCACCGGCUAACUACGUGCCAGCAGCCGCGGUAAUACGUAGGGUGCAAGCGUUAAUCGGAAUUACUGGGCGUAAAGCGUGCGCAGGCGGUUCGGAAAGAAAGAUGUGAAAUCCCAGAGCUUAACUUUGGAACUGCAUUUUUAACUACCGAGCUGAAGUGUGUCAGAGGGAGGUGGAAUUCCGCGUGUAGCAGUGAAAUGCGUAGAUAUGCGGAGGAACACCGAUGGCGAAGGCAGCCUCCUGGGAUAACACUGACGCUCAUGCACGAAAGCGUGGGGAGCAAACAGGAUUGAUACCCUGGUAGUCCACGCCUAAACGAUGUCAACUAGCUGUUGGGGCCUUCGGGCCUUGGUAGCGCAAUAACGCGUGAAGUUGACCGCCUGGGAGUACGGUCGCAAGAUUAAAACUCAAAGGAAUUGACGGGGACCCGCACAAGCGGUGGAUGAUGUCGGAUUAAUUCGAUGCAACGCGAAAAACCUUACCUACCCUUGACAUGUCUGGAAUCCCGAAAGAGAUUUGGGAGUGCUCGCAAGAGAACCGGAACACAGGUGCUGCAUGGCUGUCGUCAGCUCGUGUCGUGAGAUGUUGGGUUAAAGUCCCGCAACGAGCGCAACCCUUGUCAUUAGUUGCUACGAAGGGCACUCUAAUGAGACUGCCGGUGACAAACCGGAGGAAGGUGGGGAUGACGUCAAGUCCUCAUGGCCCUUAUGGGUAGGGCUUCACACGUCAUACAAUGGUCGGGACAGAGGGGUCGCCAACCCGCGAGGGGGAGCCAAUCCCAGAAACCCGAUCGUAGUCCGGAUCGCCAGUCUGCAACUCGACUGCGUGAAGUCGGAAUCGCUAGUAAUCGCGGAUCAGCAUGUCGCGGUGAAUACGUUCCCGGGUCUUGUACACACCGCCCGUCACACCAUGGGAGUGGGUUUACCAGAAGUAGUUAGCCUAACCGUAAGGAGGCGAUUACCACCAGUAGGAUUCAUGACUGGGGUGAAGUCGUAACAAAGGUAG